GGGAAACAAUUCCGGUUUAGUUUUUUCAAGAGCAAAGGGAAAUAAUCUGAUCUUUGAGGCAUACAGAAACCAAAUCCAUUCAUUGUUGAUAUCCUGUGAUAAAACCUAUGACAAACUAAAUCUUCAGCUUGCAUAUACCAGAUCUCAGACCAUUUUAAUAUACAUGAUUUAACCUUUCCACACAAUCCCAUCCGUAGACAACACAUACAUGUCUUCCUCCAUCAUCCUCUUAUUUUGCACUCCUACAAAACACCUAAAUCAAUUAAACAAAUCCCCACAAACAGUUAACCAUUAGAAACUACAAUAGCCAUUAGGGGAACAUAAUUCAAAGCAAAAGUACCGUGUAGGCUGGGUAUGAUGACACUAAAAAGCAAACCUAAAAUCAAUUCCAUGUGUUUUUUCAACAAAAAUAGAAGGUGAGAACUCACAAGCCAUUGUUGAACAGGGGAAAGGAAAGUAUUAGUGAUCGUCCACCUUAGGCUUCUGGACAGAAUGUUCUUUCGAACUUUCCACCCCUUUUCAACAUCAUAUAUUCUAAUCUGACUACCCUGUUCAACAAAAAUCAAUACAAAGAUCUUGGAUCAAGAAAGAACACAAGCAUCAUACAUAACAUAACACAUAUAAUCCAGUCAAUCGAGGGAAGUUCUUUUCAUAUAUCACAAGUUCAAAAGCACCUCUUGAUGCGGACCAGAGCAGAGAUCCGGUGCAUGUUCCCAUUGGUCCGGUGACACGAGCUAGAGCCAAGAAGUUCAAGGAAAGCUUAAUGAUCUUGGUUGAGGAGAUCUGGAAAUAAGAGUUGAGAAAGCCGAUCGGAGAUAAUGGAGUUAGCGAGCAGAGUUCAAGUGUGAUGAAUGUUAUUACGUAUAGAGCAGAGCAGAAUGGAAUGCCAGAGCAAAGCAGAGAAGAAUGCCAGAGCAGAGCAAACUUCCAGACUGCCAGAGCAGAGCAAACGGUCCAGAGCAGAGCGGACUUACAGAGCAGAGCGGACGUCCAGAGCAGAGCGGACUUACAGAGCAAAGCGUACUUCCAGAGCAGAGCAAAACAAGCUUCCAGAGCAGAGCAGAAUAAGCUUCCAGAGCAGAGCUAAGUUUCAGAGUUGACUAAAGUCCAGAGCAGACCAUAACCAGAGCUGGCAUCCCAGAGCCAGACUAUGAACCAGAGCUGGCGUUCUCGCCAGAGUUGUCAAAGCUUGCUGAACAAGUUUUCUUUUGUUUCCUUGUUUUUAAGUUUCCUUAUUUUUACGUUUGUUUCCUUCAUUAGAUUAGGAUUUAGUUUUGCCUAUAUAUAUGGCUGCAUGUGAACGAAAAACAUAACUUAUCUUUUAUCAAUCAAAUUUAUGAGUUUAAUCUCUCUUGAGAACUUCGAGUUCUUCUUGAUUUUGCCAAAGGUAAAUUCAAUUUAUCGGCGUAACGGCGAGUUCACCAACCCGUCAUUCAUCGUCCCCGAGUGGCUGCAUCAACUACACGUUGGGGUUUAGGGAUUCGUUCGCCUAGAUCAUUUCGUGGGUUAGAUUCAGAUAUUUUGGGAUUUUCAUCCUUUAUCUUUGUUACUUUGUUUGUUAAUCCAGUUCGUCGUUCAUAUCAAGUCUUCCGCGCGUGUUUGUUUGAUCGGUCCGGCAAAGUUCAUACCAUUAUUGGCGAGGUUCAUAUCAUUUGGUAUCAUCAUCCAGGUUUCGUUUCGAUCUUCGUCAAGGGCGUCAAGGGUAGACGUUGCUAGGGUUUUGUUUUCCAUAUACACCUAAUUCAUACUCCAUAUUUCCGUCAUUCACACUUAUUCCAUCAUUCCAUCAUUCCAUACUCAUGCACACAUAUUCCAUCAGUCCAUACUCCAUAAUUCCAUCCGUUUAUCAUACCCGCUCUUGAGUUCAUCAGAAUUUACGUAUCGUAAAAGUUAAAAAAAAAAAGCAACCAAGAAGAAAAACACCAAGUAUCGAAACUUUUUCGAAAAUUUUUAUUCCUUUCCACAAACUUGUUCCUUUGCUUCUUUGGGCAGUAUAGAGAGUUGGGAAUUUGCUUUCUAUGCAGUACUAUUUGGGUUGUCGAUUUUCCAUUUCCGAUUGCAAAGCCUCUAUUGUGAAGUUCGUGUUUGGAGUCACGGCAGAUGGAUCAUUUCCAUGCGAACCCUGUUCAUCUUGUUGAAUUCCCAUACUGAAUUCUUGUUGAAUUCGUUGAGUUCAUCUUGCAUUGUCGUGAUCCAUUCGGGAUUGUUCAGUGCUUCUUGAAUAUCUAUUGGUUCAGUUUGAGCUAAGAAGCAACUGAAGUAUUCAGUUUCAUUGAUGAUUUCAUAGGCGAGAUUGCAUUUGGAACUUCAAGUCUUCACACGAUCAGUUGGUUUGCCAAUAAUAUCUUCUAAGGAGUGAUCUUCGAACCAUCUUUUGUUUCUUCUUGUCAAGGCUUAGGAUUGUCGGGAACAGUUGUUGAUAAAGAUCUAUCAGUUGUGGGGUGAAGUUCAGUGCGAAUUUCAGCUUCAGUUGGAACAGGGGAACGUUGAACUGCUGGCGUUUUAGGCUCUGCUUGUAUCUUAAGUUCAGCUUCUUUUGGUUCUUCGGUUGGUGGAGUUCUUUCUUGACUGUUGUCUUCAGUCAGAACUGUAGAUGGACCUUCAGUGGUUGGACUGAUCUUCUGAUACUGAAGCUCUUCAGUAUUUUCAUCGUCAGUUGGACUCGACACUAGUACUUCUUUUCUUUCAGCAGUGAUUGUGCUAUCAGCUUUGGAACCUUCACCGAUUUCCUGUUGUCUGUGAUCAUCAAGUGACUCAUCUAAAAAAAUAUGCGGUGUUACUUCCACAGCUAAUUUCCAAGAAUUAAGUACGCGAUAGGCUUUUCUUGAUUCCUCAAUUCCAGAGUAUCCAAGAAAGAUUCCUUGGCCAGCCUUACUAUCGAAAGUACUUAGCUUCUCUUUGUCAUUGUUGUGGAUGUAACACCUCGAACCAAAUGCAUGAAAGUAAGAGAUAGAUGGCUUCCUGUUGUUCCAUAUUUCAUAUGGAGUUUUUACAUAUCUUUGUGUCAGGAAGGAACGAUUUUGAGUGUAGCAAACAGUGUUAAUUACUUCCGUCCAAGCAACCCGGAUUCUGCUAGCAUAGUCUGUGUUGUUUCCUUGAGUGUUCUGUUGCGGCGCUCCACCACUCCGUUCUGUUGAGGAGUCCUUGCUGCAGAGGUUUGAUGACUGAUUUCUUUAUCUUCACAAUAUUCUCUAAUAACUGAAUUAAGGAAUUCAGUCCCUCUGUCAAAUCUUAUGCUAAUAAUGUUCAAUUGUUUUUCAACGCUUAGUUUCUUCAUCAGCUUCAGCAAUUCCUUCAGUGUCUCACUCUUUAUGUACAAGAAAAUGACCCAAGUAUAUCGUGAGUAAUCGUCUACUACUACUAGGCCAUAUCUUCUACCAUUAAAGCUUCUGGGAGACAUUGGACCGAAAAGAUCCAUGUGAAGUAGUUGUAGUAUGCGCUCGGAGGAGUGACCAGUCUUUAACUUGAAAGAGGCUUUUGUCUGUUUUUCUCGUUGGCAUGCUCCACAUUCUUGCCUUUUCUAAAAGACUAUUUGGGGUAGUCCUUCAACCAGUUGGUGUUUGACAAGUUUGUUGAUUGCCUUGAAGUAGAGAUGAUUGAGUCUUCGAUGCCAAAUGGUGUUGAGCUCGGCAUGACUCUUGCUGAUUAGGCAGGUCUCAGGUGGACUAUCUUCCCAAGAAACCACAUAAAGAUUUCCUUGUCUGAACCCUUUCAGCACCACCUUCUUUUUGUUGUUUCUCAUUGUGAAUUCAUCUCUUUUGAUCUUCACAGAGAAUCCGUUGUCGAAAAAUUGGCUCAUAGACAAGAGAUUAUGUUUUAGUCCAGAAACAUAGCUAACAUUAGAUAUACAUGCGUUACCCAUGUUUAAUGCAUCAUAGCCUUUUGUUUCUCCAAGUGAAUUGUCUCCAAAUGCGACUUUAGAUCCAGUCUUUUCCACAUACUGGUUAGAUACUCCUUGUAUUCAGUCAUGUGUUUCGAACAUCCACUAUCCAGGUACCAGGUGUUCUUUGGGGCUUUUGCUUAUUCUUUCUUCUUGUUUUGUUUCCUGGUUUUAUCCUGCAAGAAAGAAAAAUUUUAGGUACCCAAUCAAUGUUUGGGUCCUGGCAUGUUAGUUCUAGUUCCUUUCGAAACCCAAAUCUGCUUCAUAACAGGCCGUGGAGAUGUAGCUUUCUCGUAACUUGGCCUUUUGACUGAAGUUGAUGCUUCUUCAGUCUGCACUGAUGUUAUUCUUCUUGUAUCAGUUACUUGCUUCUUUUGCAUCUCCUUCUUCUUGUUAUCCUGUCUUGGAUAGGUUGGAGGUCUCCUUCUUUCAGUGUUGUCUCUUCUCUGAAANCUAUCUAAUCUUCGCUCUGAAUUGUUCAUAAUUUCAUAUGUAUGUCCAAAUAUCUCUAUAUAAGUAGAUUAUAUGGUGUGUUGUAGAUCACAGAAGACCAUAUAAUUGGAAUAAUCUUAUGAGAUAUAAAAUUUAUUACAGCCGAGACGACUAUAGGAUGAGUUGUUGGUUUAGGUUGCAAUGUAGAUGGAAGUAGUUUGUCUUGGCUACUUGUCUAUACUGGUGCGUGUAAACAUAUUGAUAGGAUCACAGUGAGAUGUAUUCUUCUGUCUGACCUAAGUGAAGAAUCAAGAUCUCGGUGACUUAAUGAGACCUAAAUCCUAAUAAGAUUUCAGGUGUAUAUAUAAAUUUGUGUAUCACUUUGACUUACUAUGGGUGAGAGUUACAUAUUAACUUGAGUACUCUGUAUCUUGGGUGAUAGCAAUUUAUAUAUGACAUUUGGUAAUCUGUAUUAGGUGACCGUAUCCGGUAUAAGAUGAUAACAUCCCCUUAAGGAGCUCAAAAGGUUUAUUGCACUAAACCCUACAUGUUGAUUAAGUUCAGGUGCAAUAAUAAAGUUGAGUGGUACUACUUAAGGAUUAAUAAGAAAUUAAUUAAUAUAAGCUGUCAGAAGCUUUAAUUAAUUAAUGGAUGUUGGAUAUCUUAAAUACGGGGGUUCGAUAAGUCUAAAUACAAGCCCCGACUCAUCAUCGGCAAUAAAGGGGUAAGUCAAUAUUGAUUCUCUAGUGGAAUGAAUUAAUAUUUAUGAAUUAAUUAUGAUCUGGGCUGAUCAUAAGAAUUAAUUCAUUUGAGACCCAUCUUUAUUCCUUGUAUUUGAUCCCUGGGCUGGCCCAAAGACUCCUGACCCCAGUAGGAGAAAAAUAACUUAACUCAUAAGUCUGGUCCAUAUCCUGUGUUUUUAAUUAUAAAUACAGUUCAGCUCUCAGAAAAGAAUAGACCACACGUAAUACGUAAUUUCAGAUUAGAAAAUUAGGUUUUCUGUGAGAGCUGAGCGGAGCUGUUGAGUGGUUUUUCUCCGGGGAAUCCUCAAAGAUCGUCGUCCAUCCGACGUCGGGGAUUGAGUGGGAUACAGUCCAGAAGAUCAGAGCUGGAGUCAGAUUUUCGCAGGAAAUCAAGUUCUGGCAGUCUCCGAAGAAUGGCCAUAACUUCCUCUACAGAACUCCGAUUGAGGUGAAACAGACAGCCACAGAAAGCUCUCUCGAAGACGAAGAAGUUGUAUUUCUGGGAAAAAUACGAUUGGAGAACGUUUGAGGCUUCAAAAGAAGGGUUGAAGUUGGAUGAUUUGUUCAGCGACGAAUUGAUGAAUUCAGUAUUUCUGAACUCUUCGGUGCAGUAUUAGGAGCAUGCUAGGUUCAAUCGAUGUAUGGUGAAUUAAGAUAAUCCAAGAGACGAUCCUCAGGCAAAUCGAGUAUUAAUUAAGUUUAAUAAUCCUACAGAAAACACGUAAAGGUUUCCUUGUCUGACCCCCUUCAGCACCACCUUCUUCUUGUUGUUUCUCACUGUUAAUUCAUCUUUUUUUAUCUUCAUAGAGAAUCUGCUGUCGCAAAAUUGGCUCAUAGACAAGAGGUUAUGUUUAAGUCCAGAAACAUAGCUAACAAUAGAUGUACAUGCGUUACCCAUGUUUAAUACACCGUAAUCUUUAGUUUCUCCAAGUGAGCUGUCUCCAAAUGCGACCUUGGAUCCAGACUUUUCCACAUACUGGGUUAGAUAUUCCUUGUAUCCGGUCAUGUGUUUAGAACAUCCACUGUCCAGGUACCAAGUGUUCUUUGAGGCUUUUGCUUCUUCUUUCUUCUUAUUUUGUUUCCUGGUUUUUCCCUGCAAGAAAGAAGAAUUUUAGGUACCCAAUCAAUGUUUGGGUCUUGGCGUGUUAGUUAUAGUUCAUUUUAGAACCCAAAUCUACUUCAUGACAUGCGGUGGAGAUGCAACUUUCUUGUAACUUGGCCUUUUGACUUGAAGUUGAUGCUUCUUCAGUCUGCACUUAUGUUCUUCUUCUUGGAUCAGUUUCUUUCUUCUUAUGCAUCUCAUUCUUCUUGUUUUCGUGUCUUGGAUAGAUUGGAGGUAUCCUUCUUUCAGUAUUGUAUCUCUGUUGAAAUACUGAAAUUGAUGUAGACUGAUGAUGUCUCGGUUGAUACUGAUGAGUUAUAGACUGAUGUUGUCUAUAGUGAGACUGAUGUGGAGACUGAUGUGGUCCGGACUGAUGUUGCUUCUGAUGAUACUGAACUUGUCCGAACUUCUGAUUUUGUCUCCAAGGUUGUUCCUCACUUGUAAACUGAACAUGAUUCAGUUUCUUGUUGUUCUGAUUUCCCCUUGGUUGGUGACGUGGGUUAUGGUUCUUCGGUUGUUUAAACUGGUGAUGGUUCAGUCUAGAGGGGCCUUCAUCCUUUCUGUACUGAAGUGGAUUCUUCAGUUUCUUCUGAUGGGUUUGAUUAUUGGUCACCACCUUCUGUUCUUUCCAGUAUCUUCCCUUAGGUCGUCCGUAGUCCUCAGGAGGAGGAAUAUUCUUAUGUCUCAUCAUCUUUCUCUUCUUGUCUUCUUCUUCUGCAGAGCUUUUGGAUUUGACUGAUGCUUCAUCAUCUGAUUGCCACACCUCAAUUCUUAAACGAAUAAAUACAAUCGAGGUACAACCAUUUAGUCAAUUUUCCUCCAACACUUUCCACUAGUGUUGAUGAUGGAAAAUGCUUCAUCAGUGGGGAGUUCUUCAUGCAAUUCUUUACCCACUGUUCCAUCUUGUCAUUCAGUCGAACUGCUUCAAAUGUGGCUUCAUCAAGUUCCUUUGCAGUUCGCUUUAGAUCAGUUUCAGUCUCUUCCAAUUGAGACUGAAGUUUGCUCUUCUCCGACUGUAGACUUUCAAUCUCCUUUCUUAGUCCAUUGUUCUCUACAAUCAGUUCAUCAAGACCAGUUUCAUCCAGUAAGUAGACACUGAUCUUCUCCUUUUCAGUCCGAGCUUGACUGAUCUCUUUCUCCAAUCUUUGAUUUUCUUCCAGGAGAUUCUCAAAUAGAGUCCUUAAGCUUUGGUAGUCACACAUCACUUGUUCAUAUUCGUCCGCGUUCAGUGAUAUGUCUCCAGAGACUGAAUUUUCUCCUGUCAUCAUUAAGGAGAUAUCAGUAUUAAAAGUUUUAGAGUGAGAGUUUACCUCAGGCCAUCGAGUCCAUUGUCGUAGCUGUUGAAGUUGUUGUCAGCUACACUUUCUACAUCUUUUGCCAUUAGGGCCUAGCUCUCAUCAUAUGAACUUGUUGAGUUGCUUGAAGAUGAUUCAGUUGAGGAGUUGGAAUCCUCUGCAUCUUCGGCUACCAUGGCCUUCUUCUUCUCGUAUUUUCUGUCUCUUUUGGCUCGAAGGGCUUUUCGUUCUAAGUAUGAGAUCUCAGGACAAUCAGUCUUGUAGUGUCCCUUCUUGUCGCAGCCAAAGCACUCCACAUCCUUCAAGUCUGGAGUAGAUGGCUUCUUCUCUUCGAAUUUAUCGUUGGACUUGGAGUAUCUCAGCUUGUACUCCUUCGCCUUGCCUUUGAAGUUCUUCUUGUGGAACUUCUUAUACUUUCUGAACCUCGACUCCAUCUUGUUAAACCUUUCAGUCAUUAGUGCAUAUUGACUGAAAAAGUCUUCAGUUUUGAUAUUAGUCAACUCCUUCGACUGCUUCUUGGAAUCUUUUGAUGCAUCCUUUAGUACUGCUCCUUAAUUUGGAGGCUGAGGGAGCAUCCUCAUAUGAGGUUCCAGCUUUCUUGUUGACUUUGUUUCGUCGAAUAUCAAAUUUGUUGGCUUUAAGGUAAGAGAACAACUGCUCGGUGCUCAGUAUGCUGAAAUUUGGCUUAGUUUGCUGAGCAAUGGCAUACAUCCGCCAUUCUGCAGAAGUUAGGCUUCGUAUGAUCUUUAGGUUGAUCUCUCGCUGAGUGUACUUGUCCUUGGAGAUGGAUUGAACUUCAUUCAUUAUUAGGUUGAAUCUGAAUUUUAUCUCUUCAAUUGAUUCAUUCUUCAGCAUUAGAAAGUUGUCAAACUUUUGACAUGCAAUAGACAGCUUGUUUUCUUUAAUCUUCUCGGAUCCAGCACACAUCCUUUCAAGGGUGUUCCACAUCUCUGGCGGUUAUGCACUUUAUGAUUUUCAUCACGUGUUUGUCUGGAAUGGUACCCGAGAUGAUGUUCUUCGCGAGGCUGUCCAGUUCGUUUUGCUUUUUUCUUCUGAAGUGUACUCGUGUCUUUUCUUUAUCCUGGAUUCAUAGUAGGAUCUUCCUACUUCUGUGGGGUCUCUAUGUUCUCUUUGAUGAUGAUUGGACCUUCUGUGAUCACGUCCCACAUCCUGCANUCUCCUACUUUAUCGCUUUUAUUAUCUUCUCUCUCCUACUUUAUCACUUUUAUAUUUUAUUAACUACACACUUAAAACACUAAUCUACAACUCCUUAAUUCUCGUGCCGAAUUCAAACGUGUCAAGAUUCGUGGGACGGGGGGAGGUAAUAAAUAAUUGAAAACUAAAUUAUUGAGUCAAGGACACCAACAAUAUCCUUACUCGAUUUUCUUUAAUAAUUGGAUUUAUAAAAACCAAUUUAAAAUCAUAACUCUUCUUAUUGCAUAAUGCAAAUGCAAUUUCAUGACAUGCUUAAACAUAUAAUAAGUAAUCGCUUGAAAUAUGCACACAAUAUUAGUGAUAUUAUUAUACAAAUUAUCUCUAAAAUAAUUAAUCAAACUAAUGAUAGUUAAAUUAAUUAAAAUAUGGGCUGCUCAAAAAUUAAAUCAAGGCCCCUUUCUCUUAAAAAUUUCGCAGGCCCAAAAUUGAAUAAAUCAGCCCAAGUUAGUAAAUUAAUAACAUGGCCCUUCACCUUUAAUAAAAUCAGCCCAAGCAUUUUAAAAUAUGGAGGCCCAACUGAAUUAAAAUUGGCCCAAAUGACUCAAGCCCAACUCCAACCCUUAUUUCUCUUUUCUCCCUCAAUCAAACGCUCCCGCCCACCCUCGGUUCUGUCUCUCUCCCUCUCUCAAUUCACGCCGCCCACUGUCCCUCUCUCAGAAUCCGCCGCCGCCGUGGAGCUUGCCGGAGGAGCAGCGGCGACAAGAACGCUCGGCUCUCUCUUCUCUCUCGCGAAACCCGCCCCCUCACUUUCCCUCUGUCUCUCAGCGGCAGCAACCGCCGCCACGGUCACCGCCUCAUCUCCCUUACCCCUCUGCUCUCGCCUCCUCUCUGACCUAGAACGGCGACGGUGAGGGCCUCCGCCGUCUGAGCCCUAGCCCCAAUCACGGCUCCUCUCAAUUUCUGGCAACGACGUCGCCGCUACGCACCUCUGCCUCCAUCUGUUCUCCCUCAUUUCAAAGCCUCGCCGGAAAGACUACAGCAGUAGCCGUGCCACCGCAGUCGACGCCCAGUCUCCCUCCAUCUCUUCCCUCCGAACUCCGGUGAUAAACAAAGCGCUAAGGCCGUUGCCCACCUUCCCUGACUCGACUCAGCAGCAACAACACCCACCCGGCUCAAGCAUCACAAAAUAGAGUUCAAAAGCUAAAAUUAAAGUCAAGACUUAACUCCUUUUAUUUAGAUCGUUUCUUCAUUUGUAAAGAACAUUUUCAAUGCCUUGUCUAACUGUAUAAAUAUAUGUACAUAUCUUGAUGGGAUGAUGAUACAAUGAAUGUGUUUUUGUGUUUUUGUGCUUUUGAUUCAGUGGAACGUCAAGAAGAAGGUUGGCAAUUUCUAAAAUGAAUUUAGAGGUGUAACCUUAGAAGAAAAUUCUGCUGUGUUGUUGAUAUGUGAGGGCUGGAAUUAGUUUGCUGCUGAAGUUCUUGAGCUGGAGAGCUCUUCAUUUCGAGAGCAGAGUGUAUGUGGAGUGAUUUGUAAAAAGUGAAAUGAAAGUCUUAGUUAGUGUAACUUGGCUUUGCAGAGAAGGUUUUCAUCAAAAAACUAUAGGAUUGAUGGCUAGUGUAGGAAUAGACUUUGUAGGAUAAUACGGGCUUUGAUGGUAAGACUUGAAUUAACAGCGACCAUUCUCCUAGAGGUCGACCAGCC
This 10308-nucleotide long non-coding RNA is filed under the name Salvia miltiorrhiza (redroot sage). RNAcentral describes it as "long non-coding RNA (SMIL_LNC008191)". The record is from RNAcentral. Lineage: Eukaryota; Viridiplantae; Streptophyta; Magnoliopsida; Lamiales; Lamiaceae.